Molecule: long non-coding RNA, 260 nt
Organism: Olea europaea var. sylvestris
Lineage: Eukaryota; Viridiplantae; Streptophyta; Magnoliopsida; Lamiales; Oleaceae
Exons: 3
Source: RefSeq, a predicted model, not a curated record
AGGUAUAUCUUCAGUCCUAGAUUCUUCAUCACAACCCAUGAAUGAGCCACCUUCCUCCCAAGGUGUCGACCCCCCAGUCAUCGAAGCAGAAGAUACUCCCAUGAGUUCGCCCGUUGUGGCAACGUCUUCUCGCUCGGACAAGGGAAAGUCCUCACGAAUGGAUGAGUCGUUGGUGGCCAGCUUGGCUGAGGGUGAGCCAUCUUCUACGAUUGUCGACGAGGAUGCUGACAGGAUUGUUCGUUCUAUCCAGGAUUUGUUCG